UUGUCUGUGUAUUUAAGUAGCCUUCAAUUGAAUAUAACAGUUCAAUGAACACUAACAAAAGCUUGUUGAUUUAUUUUACAAAUGAUCUGAAACAUGUCUGAAGGCCUGCUUUAUGUUGGAGUGCCGGUAUGCUACUCGAUAUUUUAAUUAAAUUAUUAAUUUAAUUAAUUAAAUGAUUAAAAAUGGCUACUUUAGCGGCUGUAUGAUCAAUAAAUAAAAAAACUACAGCAUCAUAGAGAACUCCAGCUGUAUUUAUUCAUAUUUUGUUUGGCAAUCAGUCGCUCCCCGACAAUUCCGACAUUUCCGACCGAACAUGAAAGCAUCAAAAGCCUUUUGGCAUGGUCAAUACAGAGGAGCGGGGUAGAAAAUGCCAGUUGUGCAGGGGAAACAAACCUACAAUGGGCUUACCUGUUGCUGCAGUGGUGAAAAAAAGUUUGUAGAAAUGAAGAGGAGGUUUUAUUUUCAAGUGUUGCAAAAGUGCAGAUGAAAGCGCGAAGAGACGCAACAUCUUCCAGAGGUCGGACUUUUAUCUGAGGGGUAGGCUACUGUGAAGUCACAGUCCCGUUAAAUACAAAAUAAGUGGGAGAAAAACGGGACUACUUUCAAACUUUAUUUAGUCGAGUGCUGGAGAUGUUUAGACCGUCUAGGAAACCUCUCACAUGCAGAACCGCCCUGUAAGCAGGGGCAGCCUCCAGAUCAGCCUCUCCCCUGCAUGUCUCUGGCUACCACACACCUAAUCAGUCCUGAUUAGAUGCACUGUAAGAGACGAGGAAGCCAGCCUUUCAGAAGUUAUGAUGACAGAAGAAAGCGAUGGGCUCCCUUAAAUAAAACCUUCAUGAGCAGAAA
Molecule: long non-coding RNA, 846 nt
Organism: Micropterus salmoides (largemouth bass)
Lineage: Eukaryota; Metazoa; Chordata; Actinopteri; Centrarchiformes; Centrarchidae
Exons: 2
Source: RefSeq, a predicted model, not a curated record